Molecule: ribosomal RNA, 1157 nt
Filed under: Candidatus Omnitrophota bacterium
Lineage: Bacteria; Pseudomonadati; Candidatus Omnitrophota
Description: Candidatus Omnitrophica bacterium partial 23S ribosomal RNA
Rfam family: Bacterial large subunit ribosomal RNA
Source: RNAcentral
AGGCUUAUCUUGCCCGAGAGUUCAUAUCGACGGCAAGGUUUGGCACCUCGAUGUCGGCUCAUCACAUCCUGGGGGUGGAGAAGCUCCCAAGGGUUCGGCUGUUCGCCGAUUAAAGUGGUACGUGAGCUGGGUUCAGAACGUAGAUAAUACUGCGUCUCUUAGGAGUAAUUCUAAGAUGCAAAUCGACUUAUAUCGGUGGAGCCCUAAUAUGGUCCGAAUGCCAUAUGGGUAAUACCGAGGGAAGGUUGAUAAAAUGAUCGACGAGACAACAAAAGCGUAUAUUGCUGGUUUUCUCGACGGUGAUGGAAGCAUAAUGCUGCAAUUGGUGCACCGAAAAGAUUAUAAAUUCGGCUAUCAGAUUCGAGCGAGCACAUGUUUCUAUCAGAAAUCUAAAUAUAGAAACGAACUCAAGAAAUUGAAAGACAUAUUGAAGUUCGGCUAUAUUAGAGAUCGUAACGAUGGAAUUACAGAAUAUACGAUUGUUGGUAAAGAUGAGGUUAAGGAAGUUUUAGAGAUGCUUCAGCCUUACAUUUUAUUCAAAAGAAAGCAUGUUUUAGAAGCGCUUAAAAUAUUGAAUGAAAUUGGAGAUAGAAGAAAAAUGCUGAAGGACGAAUUUCUAAGGCUUGCAAGACUAGUCGACUCAUAUUCUAGUCUUAACUAUUCAAAAAAGCGAAAACAUUUUGCACAUAAUGUAGAGAAUUUUUUGAAUAAAAGAGUAGGUCAGCCCCUGUAACGACUGAAGGUUUUAUACCUGAGAUAGUUAGGCAAAGACGCUAGCUAUAACACGUCGACUCCCAGAAAUGGGAUGGAGAUAUAGUCUGUGCCACGAGUAAUCGUGGAAUAACAUGCGUAAGACAGUUCGGUCUCUAUCUGUUACAUGCGUAGGAUGUUUGCGGAGAUAUGUCCCUAGUACGAGAGGACCGGGAUAUACGAACCAAUGGUGUUCCAGUUGUCACGCCAGUGGCAUUUGCUGGGUAGCUAUGUUCGGAAAGGAUAAGCGCUGAAUGCAUAUAAGCGCGAAGCCCCCUCCAAGAUUAAACAUCCCUCCGCUUCGGCGGAAUAAGGCACCUUGUAGAUGACGAGGUUGAUAGGCUGGAGGUGUAAGGCCAGUAAUGGCUUCAGCUGACCAGUACUAAUCUGCCGAACGGCUUGACCAC